Molecule: ribosomal RNA, 262 nt
Filed under: uncultured bacterium
Lineage: Bacteria
Description: partial 16S ribosomal RNA
Rfam family: Bacterial small subunit ribosomal RNA
Source: RNAcentral
AGCCGCGGUAAUACGAAGGGCGCAAGCGUUGUUCGGAAUCACUGGGCGUAAAGCGCGUGUAGGCGGCCAGGCAAGUCGGGUGUGAAAUCCCGGGGCUCAACCUCGGAACUGCCCUUGAAACUGCAGCGCUAGAAUCUUGGAGAGGCGAGUGGAAUUCCGAGUGUAGAGGUGAAAUUCGUAGAUAUUCGGAAGAACACCAGUGGCGAAGGCGACUCGCUGGACAAGUAUUGACGCUGAGGUGCGAAAGCGUGGGGAGCAAACA